CCCUGUCGGUUGGGGGCUGCUUCGGCGAGACUUAAAUUAAUCGACUACGCAUGUAGACGCUCACAGGGAGAUGUCGCAGGACGCGGGUUCGAUACCCGCCGCCUCCAUUU
RNAcentral lists this transfer-messenger RNA (110 nucleotides) under Thermoguttaceae bacterium. RNAcentral describes it as "partial transfer-messenger RNA". It matches the Rfam family "transfer-messenger RNA", at positions 265 to 374 of the family's 374-position model. Rfam says of the family: Bacterial tmRNA, also known as 10Sa RNA or SsrA, is named for its dual tRNA and mRNA-like properties. The record is from RNAcentral. Lineage: Bacteria; Pseudomonadati; Planctomycetota; Planctomycetia; Pirellulales; Thermoguttaceae.